Molecule: transfer RNA, 71 nt
Filed under: Marmota monax (woodchuck)
Lineage: Eukaryota; Metazoa; Chordata; Mammalia; Rodentia; Sciuridae
Description: tRNA.Ala
Rfam family: tRNA
About the family: Transfer RNA (tRNA) molecules are approximately 80 nucleotides in length. Their secondary structure includes four short double-helical elements and three loops (D, anti-codon, and T loops).
Source: RNAcentral
GGGGUUGUGGCUCAGUGGUAGAGCACUUGCCUAGCAUGUAUGAGGCACUGGGUUCAAUUCUCAGCACCACA